This 29-nucleotide non-coding RNA is filed under the name Homo sapiens (human). Lineage: Eukaryota; Metazoa; Chordata; Mammalia; Primates; Hominidae. The record is from RNAcentral.
UGACACUGAAUUUGGGCAACACCUAGAAC